RNAcentral lists this ribosomal RNA (108 nucleotides) under Chrysemys picta bellii (western painted turtle). Lineage: Eukaryota; Metazoa; Chordata; Testudines; Emydidae. The record is from RNAcentral.
GAACCUCACCCUCAUGCUGUGAUCUCAUCCAGUCUCAAGCUAAGCAGGGUUAUGCCUGGGUGGAACUUGGAUGGGAGACCUCCAAGGGAAACCCAGAAGUGGUGUCUG